UACAGAGGUCCCAAGCGUUGUUCGGAUUCAUUGGGCGUAAAGGGUGCGUAGGCGGCGCGGUAAGUCGGGUGUGAAAUCUCGGAGCUUAACUCCGAAACUGCAUUCGAUACUGCCGUGCUUGAGGACUGGAGAGGAGACUGGAAUUUACGGUGUAGCGGUGAAAUGCGUAGAUAUCGUAAGGAAGACCAGUGGCGAAGGCGGGUCUCUGGACAGUCCUGACGCUGAGGCACGAAGGCCAGGGGAGCAAACGGG
RNAcentral lists this ribosomal RNA (252 nucleotides) under uncultured bacterium. RNAcentral's name for it is "partial 16S ribosomal RNA". It matches the Rfam family "Bacterial small subunit ribosomal RNA", at positions 524 to 776 of the family's 1533-position model. The record is from RNAcentral.